CGGCGAGUGAAGCGGCAACAGCUCAAAUUUGAAAUCUGGCCCUCUAGGGGGUCCGAGUUGUAAUUUGCAGAGGGUGCUUUGGCGUUGGCGGCGGUCUAAGUUCCUUGGAACAGGACGUCACAGAGGGUGAGAAUCCCGUAUGUGGUCGCCGGCCUUCGCCGUGUAAAGCCCCUUCGACGAGUCGAGUUGUUUGGGAAUGCAGCUCUAAAUGGGAGGUAAAUUUCUUCUAAAGCUAAAUACUGGCCAGAGACCGAUAGCGCACAAGUAGAGUGAUCGAAAGAUGAAAAGCACUUUGGAAAGAGAGUCAAAAAGCACGUGAAAUUGUUGAAAGGGAAGCGCUUGCAGCCAGACUUGCCUGUAGUUGCUCAGCCGGGCUCCGGCCCGGUGCACUCUUCUGCGGGCAGGCCAGCAUCAGUUCGGGCGGCCGGAUAAAGACCUCUGUCACGUACCUCCCUUCGGGGAGGCCUUAUAGGGGAGGUGAAAUGCGGCCAGUCCGGACUGAGGUCCGCGCAUCUGCUAGGAUGCUGGCGUAAUGGCUGUAAGCGGCCCGUCUUGAAACACGGACCAAGGAGUCUAACAUCUAUGCGAGUGUUUGGGUGUCAAGCCCGAGCGCGUAAUGAAAGUGAACGGAGGUGGGAACCCCUCGGGGUGCACCAUCGACCGAUCCUGAUGUCUUCGGAUGGAUUUGAGUAAGAGCAUAGCUGUUGGGACCCGAAAGAUGGUGAACUAUGCUUGAAUAGGGUGAAGCCAGAGGAAACUCUGGUGGAGGCUCGCAGCGGUUCUGACGUGCAAAUCGAUCGUCAAAUUUGGGCAUAGGGGCGAAAG
This 825-nucleotide ribosomal RNA is filed under the name fungal sp. BG119. RNAcentral describes it as "eukaryotic LSU rRNA". It matches the Rfam family "Eukaryotic large subunit ribosomal RNA", at positions 87 to 929 of the family's 3401-position model. The record is from RNAcentral. Lineage: Eukaryota; Fungi.